CAUAAGGUUUUUCCUAUUUUCUUCCAUUAUUGAAUAUUGAUGACAUGGGUGAAACUAUUAUGAUUAGAUGGUGAUAAUUAUAUAUUUCUAUAAUUAUAAUAUUUUUUCUUGAGUAAAUGCGUUAAGGAUUGAAUUUGUUUUAGAAUGUUUUAUUUUUAAAUUGUGAUAUCAGUUGAUAUUGUUUAUGUAUCCAUUUUUGUAAUGAUGUUGUAGUAUUGUUUUUUU
This 225-nucleotide long non-coding RNA is filed under the name Lathyrus oleraceus (garden pea). RNAcentral's name for it is "Pisum sativum (pea) long non-coding RNA (PSAT_LNC025332)". Lineage: Eukaryota; Viridiplantae; Streptophyta; Magnoliopsida; Fabales; Fabaceae. The record is from RNAcentral.